AUAAUGCAGUCGAACGCACUCUCGUUUAGAUUGAAGGAGCUUGCUCCUGAUUGAUAAACAUUUGAGUGAGUGGCGGACGGGUGAGUAACACGUGGGUAACCUGCCCUAAAGUGGGGGAUAACAUUUGGAAACAGAUGCUAAUACCGCAUAAAACCUAACACCGCAUGGUGUAGGGUUGAAAGAUGGUUUCGGCUAUCACUUUAGGAUGGACCCGCGGUGCAUUAGUUAGUUGGUGAGGUAAAGGCUCACCAAGACCGUGAUGCAUAGCCGACCUGAGAGGGUAAUCGGCCACACUGGGACUGAGACACGGCCCAGACUCCUACGGGAGGCAGCAGUAGGGAAUCUUCCACAAUGGACGAAAGUCUGAUGGAGCAACGCCGCGUGAGUGAAGAAGGUUUUCGGAUCGUAAAACUCUGUUGUUGGAGAAGAAUGUAUCUGAUAGUAACUGAUCAGGUAGUGACGGUAUCCAACCAGAAAGCCACGGCUAACUACGUGCCAGCAGCCGCGGUAAUACGUAGGUGGCAAGCGUUGUCCGGAUUUAUUGGGCGUAAAGCGAGCGCAGGCGGUUUCUUAAGUCUGAUGUGAAAGCCUUCGGCUCAACCGAAGAAGUGCAUCGGAAACUGGGAAACUUGAGUGCAGAAGAGGACAGUGGAACUCCAUGUGUAGCGGUGAAAUGCGUAGAUAUAUGGAAGAACACCAGUGGCGAAGGCGGCUGUCUGGUCUGUAACUGACGCUGAGGCUCGAAAGCAUGGGUAGCAAACAGGAUUAGAUACCCUGGUAGUCCAUGCCGUAACGAUGAGUGCUAGGUGUUGGAGGGUUUCCGCCCUUCAGUGCCGCAGCUACG
Molecule: ribosomal RNA, 844 nt
Filed under: Latilactobacillus sakei
Lineage: Bacteria; Bacillati; Bacillota; Bacilli; Lactobacillales; Lactobacillaceae
Description: bacterial SSU rRNA
Rfam family: Bacterial small subunit ribosomal RNA
Source: RNAcentral